CUGCUGCCUCCCGUAGGAGUUUGGGCCGUGUCUCAGUCCCAAUGUGGCCGUCCACCCCCUCAGGCCGGCUACUGAUCGUCGCCUUGGUGGGCCGUUACCCCGCCAACAAGCUAAUCAGACGCGGGUCCAUCUUACACCACCGGAGUUUUUCACACAAAUCCAUGCGGCUUCGUGCGCUUAUGCGGUAUUAGCACCUAUUUCUAAGUGUUAUCCCCCAGUGUAAGGCAGGUUACCCACGCGUUACUCACCCGUCCGCCACUAAGAUUUUA
RNAcentral lists this ribosomal RNA (269 nucleotides) under uncultured bacterium. RNAcentral's name for it is "partial 16S ribosomal RNA". The record is from RNAcentral.